Molecule: non-coding RNA, 26 nt
Filed under: Mus musculus (house mouse)
Lineage: Eukaryota; Metazoa; Chordata; Mammalia; Rodentia; Muridae
Source: RNAcentral
UGGCUCUUGUGUCAAGUCAGGAGCAG